RNAcentral lists this ribosomal RNA (1156 nucleotides) under Salmonella enterica subsp. enterica serovar Saintpaul. RNAcentral's name for it is "partial 23S ribosomal RNA". It matches the Rfam family "Bacterial large subunit ribosomal RNA", at positions 161 to 1269 of the family's 2925-position model. The record is from RNAcentral. Lineage: Bacteria; Pseudomonadati; Pseudomonadota; Gammaproteobacteria; Enterobacterales; Enterobacteriaceae.
AAUCCAUAGGUUAAUGAGGCGAACCGGGGGAACUGAAACAUCUAAGUACCCCGAGGAAAAGAAAUCAACCGAGAUUCCCCCAGUAGCGGCGAGCGAACGGGGAGGAGCCCAGAGCCUGAAUCAGCAUGUGUGUUAGUGGAAGCGUCUGGAAAGGCGCGCGAUACAGGGUGACAGCCCCGUACACAAAAGCGCAUGUGCUGUGAGCUCGAUGAGUAGGGCGGGACACGUGGUAUCCUGUCUGAAUAUGGGGGGACCAUCCUCCAAGGCUAAAUACUCCUGACUGACCGAUAGUGAACCAGUACCGUGAGGGAAAGGCGAAAAGAACCCCGGCGAGGGGAGUGAAAAAGAACCUGAAACCGUGUACGUACAAGCAGUGGGAGCACAGGUUUACCUGUGUGACUGCGUACCUUUUGUAUAAUGGGUCAGCGACUUAUAUUCUGUAGCAAGGUUAACCGUAUAGGGGAGCCGGAGGGAAACCGAGUCUUAAUUGGGCGUUAAGUUGCAGGGUAUAGACCCGAAACCCGGUGAUCUAGCCAUGGGCAGGUUGAAGGUUGGGUAACACUAACUGGAGGACCGAACCGACUAAUGUUGAAAAAUUAGCGGAUGACCUGUGGCUGGGGGUGAAAGGCCAAUCAAACCGGGAGAUAGCUGGUUCUCCCCGAAAGCUAUUUAGGUAGCGCCUCGUGAAUUCAUCUCCGGGGGUAGAGCACUGUUUCGGCUAGGGGGCCAUCCCGGCUUACCAACCCGAUGCAAACUGCGAAUACCGGAGAAUGUUAUCACGGGAGACACACGGCGGGUGCUAACGUCCGUCGUGAAGAGGGAAACAACCCAGACCGCCAGCUAAGGUCCCAAAGUCAUGGUUAAGUGGGAAACGAUGUGGGAAGGCCCAGACAGCCAGGAUGUUGGCUUAGAAGCAGCCAUCAUUUAAAGAAAGCGUAAUAGCUCACUGGUCGAGUCGGCCUGCGCGGAAGAUGUAACGGGGCUAAACCAUGCACCGAAGCUGCGGCAGCGAACGUAUCACCCAAGACAACUUUACGGAGUUGACGAUUGACGGAGCGAAGCGACGUCAAAGCGUUCAUUAAAGUCGAGUUGGCUUAGGGAUACGUUCGUUGGGUAGGGGAGCGUUCUGUAAGCCUGUGAAGGUGUGUCGUGAGGC